CGGGGUGUCGUAUAAUGGUAGUACGCAAGGCUGGGGGUCUUGUAGCCCGGGUUCGAUUCCCGGCACCCCGACUA
This 74-nucleotide transfer RNA is filed under the name Candidatus Andersenbacteria bacterium CG10_big_fil_rev_8_21_14_0_10_54_11. RNAcentral describes it as "tRNA-Pro". It matches the Rfam family "tRNA". From Rfam's summary of the family: Transfer RNA (tRNA) molecules are approximately 80 nucleotides in length. Their secondary structure includes four short double-helical elements and three loops (D, anti-codon, and T loops). The record is from RNAcentral. Lineage: Bacteria; Candidatus Anderseniibacteriota.